GACGAACGCUGGCGGCGUGCUUAACACAUGCAAGUCGAACGGUAAGGCCCUUCGGGGUACACGAGUGGCGAACGGGUGAGUAACACGCGGGUGAUCUGCCCUACACUUCGGGAUAAGCCUGGGAAACUGGGUCUAAUACCGGAUAGGACCCUGGGAUGCAUGUCCUGGGGUGGAAAGCUUUUGCGGUGUGGGAUGGGCCCGCGGCCUAUCAGCUUGUUGGUGGGGUGAUGGCCUACCAAGGCGACGACGGGUAGCCGGCCUGAGAGGGUGACCGGCCACACUGGGACUGAGAUACGGCCCAGACUCCUACGGGAGGCAGCAGUGGGGAAUAUUGCACAAUGGGCGCAAGCCUGAUGCAGCGACGCCGCGUGAGGGAUGACGGCCUUCGGGUUGUAAACCUCUUUCAGCACCGACAAAGCGCAAGUGACGGUAGGUGCAGAAGAAGGACCGGCCAACUACGUGCCAGCCGCCGCGGUAA
This 478-nucleotide ribosomal RNA is filed under the name uncultured bacterium. Its description in RNAcentral is "partial 16S ribosomal RNA". It matches the Rfam family "Bacterial small subunit ribosomal RNA", at positions 28 to 523 of the family's 1533-position model. The record is from RNAcentral.